UGGGGAAUCUUGCGCAAUGGGCGAAAGCCUGACGCAGCGACGCCGCGUGCGGGAUGAAGGCCUUCGGGUCGUAAACCGCUUUCAGCAGGGACGAGGCCGCAAGGUGACGGUACCUGCAGAAGAAGCCCCGGCUAACUACGUGCCAGCAGCCGCGGUAAUACGUAGGGGGCAAGCGUUAUCCGGAUUCAUUGGGCGUAAAGCGCGCGUAGGCGGCCUGUUAGGUCGGGAGUCAAAUCCCGGGGCUCAACCCCGGCUCGCUCCCGAUACCGGCAGGCUUGAGUCUGGUAGGGGAAGGCGGAAUUCCCAGUGUAGCGGUGGAAUGCGCAGAUAUUGGGAAGAACACCGGUGGCGAAGGCGGCCUUCUGGGCCACGACUGACGCUGAGGCGCGAAAGCUAGGGGAGCGAACAG
RNAcentral lists this ribosomal RNA (409 nucleotides) under uncultured bacterium. Its description in RNAcentral is "bacterial SSU rRNA". It matches the Rfam family "Bacterial small subunit ribosomal RNA", at positions 355 to 775 of the family's 1533-position model. The record is from RNAcentral.